Molecule: ribosomal RNA, 347 nt
Filed under: uncultured bacterium
Lineage: Bacteria
Description: bacterial SSU rRNA
Rfam family: Bacterial small subunit ribosomal RNA
Source: RNAcentral
AGAGGGUGCGAGCGUUAAUCGGAUUUACUGGGMGUAAAGCGUGCGUAGGCGGCUGAUUAAGUCGGAUGUGAAAUCCCUGAGCUUAACUUAGGAAUUGCAUUCGAUACUGGUCAGCUAGAGUAUGGGAGAGGAUGGUAGAAUUCCAGGUGUAGCGGUGAAAUGCGUAGAGAUCUGGAGGAAUACCGAUGGCGAAGGCAGCCAUCUGGCCUAAUACUGACGCUGAGGUACGAAAGCAUGGGGAGCAAACAGGAUUAGAUACCCUGGUAGUCCAUGCCGUAAACGAUGUCUACUAGCCGUUGGGGCCUUUGAGGCUUUAGUGGCGCCASUAACGCGAUAAGUAGACCGCC